This 254-nucleotide small RNA is filed under the name Escherichia coli. Lineage: Bacteria; Pseudomonadati; Pseudomonadota; Gammaproteobacteria; Enterobacterales; Enterobacteriaceae. The record is from RNAcentral. RNAcentral also lists the same sequence under 32 other names.
AUAGAGCGAGGACGCUAACAGGAACAAUGACUCAGGAUGAGGGUCAGGAGCGCCAGGAGGCGAAGACAGAGGAUUGUCAGGAAGACAAACGUCCGGAGACGUAAUUAAACGGAAAUGGAAUCAACACGGAUUGUUCCGGCUAAUGGAAAAACAGGGUGUGUUGGCGGCCUGCAAGGAUUGUAAGACCCGUUAAGGGUUAUGAGUCAGGAAAAAAGGCGACAGAGUAAUCUGUCGCCUUUUUUCUUUGCUUGCUU